Molecule: non-coding RNA, 74 nt
Organism: Rattus norvegicus (Norway rat)
Lineage: Eukaryota; Metazoa; Chordata; Mammalia; Rodentia; Muridae
Source: Rfam
GGAGAGAUGGCUUAGUGGUUAAGAGCACUGACUGCUCUUCCAGAGGACCUGAGUUCAAAUCUCAGCUGCCACCC